Molecule: long non-coding RNA, 632 nt
Organism: Mastomys coucha (southern multimammate mouse)
Lineage: Eukaryota; Metazoa; Chordata; Mammalia; Rodentia; Muridae
Exons: 2
Source: RefSeq, a predicted model, not a curated record
ACUCAGAGCUAUUACAUUAUAUACAUUUUUAUCUCUUGCUAUGAAGCUUACUGCAAACAGAAAACACUUAUUUUCAUCCAACUCUGUACAACCUAGAAGAGAAUUAACAUUCUUUCUCCCCACAUGUUUCAUUUCAGUCCUAUUACAAAGUGCGGUGGAUUCAGGACACCUCUAUUCUCACUCAGACCUCCUCUCCCUCUGCAGGCUGAGUGGACACUGGACUUCCACUGUCUAGCAUCUCCAUCUUCUGCUCCUACCUGACAAGCAAAACCACAUUAACUGAUUAUACGAUGUCUACCCCAAAAGCACAGGACAGCCAUGAACUUGCUGAUGGACAGACCUUCACUUACCAUAGAUAAGGUCAACCAUAUGUCCCACAUUUGACUGGACGGACUAUGACUCAAAUUAAAGAUUGUGCUCCCAGCUCACCUGUUUAGAAAUAUUAUGAUUUUAUAGUAAAACUGUAAUUCUAGCAGGCAAUAAGAAGGCCACUGCCUCGAGAGAGUGAACAGCAAAUAAUGGAAGGGCCAGGAUGGCUAGUGCUCCAAACUGAUUUCCUCUUCCAUGUAUAUACUUUUUAGAAAUAAUAAAACAGAACCAGUUUUGUGACAAAUAAAAAGCAUAAACUAGCC